UACGAAGGGGGCAAGCGUUGUUCGGAAUUACUGGGCGUAAGGGCGCGUAGGCGGCUUGCCAAGUCAGGCGUGAAAUUCCCGGGCUCAACCUGGGGGCUGCGCUUGAUACUGGUGAGCUUGAAUGCGGGAGAGGAUAGUGGAAUUCCCAGUGUAGAGGUGAAAUUCGUAGAUAUUGGGAAGAACACCAGUGGCGAAGGCGGCUAUCUGGCCCGUGAUUGACGCUGAGGCGCGAAAGCGUGGGGAGCAAACAGGAUUAGAACC
This 261-nucleotide ribosomal RNA is filed under the name uncultured bacterium. RNAcentral's name for it is "partial 16S ribosomal RNA". It matches the Rfam family "Bacterial small subunit ribosomal RNA", at positions 524 to 785 of the family's 1533-position model. The record is from RNAcentral.